GCUGAAGCCGCGAAUUAUUACAACGCCGUUGUUUCUUGGAUCUCCUCUGAUACUUGGAUAACUGUGGUAAUUCUAGAGCUAAUACAUGCAACUGAGCUCCGACCGUAAGGGACGAGCGCAUUUAUUAGAUCAAAACCAAUCAGUGCUUCGGCAUUGUGGUUUGGUGACUCUGAAUAACUCCGCAGAUCGCUUCGGUCCUAGUACCGGCGAUGUAUCUUUCAAGUGUCUGCCUUAUCAACUUUCGAUGGUAGUUUAUGUGCCUACCAUGGUUGUAACGGGUAACGGAGAAUAAGGGUUCGACUCCGGAGAGGGAGCCUGAGAAACGGCUACCACUUCUAAGGAAGGCAGCAGGCGCGCAAAUUACCCACUCUCGGCAUGAGGAGGUAGUGACGAAAAAUAACGAGACGGUUCUCUAUGAGUACCGUCAUCGGAAUGAGAACAAUCCAAACCCUUUAACGAGGACCUAGCGGAGGGCAAGUCUGGUGCCAGCAGCCGCGGUAAUUCCAGCUCCGCCAGUGUAUAUCUAUGCUGCUGCGGUUAAAAAGCUCGUAGUUGGAUCAUCGUGCCAGGAGCCGGUCCGCCUUUACGGGCGUGUACUGGAGUCCGGCACUUAAACGUUGGUUUUCUCUUGAUGCCCUUUAUUGGGUGUCCUGAGUGACUAACAUGUUUACUUUGAAAAAAUUAGAGUGCUCAAAACAAGCGUUUCGCUUGAAUAUUCGUGCAUGGAAUAAUAAAUAGGACCUUGUUCUAUUUGGUUUUCGGAACACGAGGUAAUGUUAAGAGGGACAGACGGGGCAUUCGUAUUGCGACGUUAGAGGUGAAAUUCUUGGAUCGUCGCAAGACGGAUACUGCGAAAGCAUUGCCAAGAA
RNAcentral lists this ribosomal RNA (869 nucleotides) under Steineria sterreri. RNAcentral's name for it is "bacterial SSU rRNA". It matches the Rfam family "Eukaryotic small subunit ribosomal RNA", at positions 80 to 964 of the family's 1831-position model. The record is from RNAcentral. Lineage: Eukaryota; Metazoa; Nematoda; Chromadorea; Monhysterida; Xyalidae.